UACGUAGGCAGCGAGCGUUGUUCGGAGUUACUGGGCGUAAAGGGUGUGUAGGCGGUUCUUUAAGUUUGGUGUGAAACCUCCCGGCUCAACCGGGAGGGUGCGCCGAAUACUGAGGGACUUGGAGUGCGGGAGAGGAAAGUGGAAUUCCAGGUGUAGCGGUGAAAUGCGUAGAUAUCUGGAGGAAUACCGGUGGCGAAGGCGGCAUCCUGGACCGACAUUGACGCUGAACGGCGAAAGCUAGGGGAGCAAACAGG
RNAcentral lists this ribosomal RNA (254 nucleotides) under uncultured bacterium. Its description in RNAcentral is "partial 16S ribosomal RNA". It matches the Rfam family "Bacterial small subunit ribosomal RNA", at positions 524 to 776 of the family's 1533-position model. The record is from RNAcentral.